Molecule: ribosomal RNA, 497 nt
Filed under: uncultured bacterium
Lineage: Bacteria
Description: partial 16S ribosomal RNA
Rfam family: Bacterial small subunit ribosomal RNA
Source: RNAcentral
GAUGAACGCUGGCGGCGUGCCUAAUACAUGCAAGUCGAGCGAUCAAACGCAGCUCUUGCUCCUCUGACGUUAGCGGCACGCGGGUGAAUAACACGUGUAUCCCCUCCCUAUCUGACUGGUAUAACUUCGAGAAGCCGGAGCUAAUACCAUAUACUAUGUUCAACCGCUUGGUUCAAGAGUGAAAGGCGUUUUUGCUGUCACUUAUACAUGCAUCCUAGCCGCAUUAGCUAGUUGUUAAGGUCUCGGGUUACCAUGGCAACGAUGCGUAGCCGACCUGCGAGGGUGAGCGGCUACACUGGAACUGAGACACGGUCAAGCGUCCUACGGGAGGAAGCAGGAGGGAAGUGGCGGAAAUGGGCGAAAGCCUGACGGAGUAACGCCGCGUGAGUGAGGAAGGGCUGCGGAUCGUAAAACUCUGUUAUUAGGGAAGAAAAAAUGUGGAAGUAACUAUGCACGUCGUGACGGUAGUGAAUCAGAAAGCCACGGCUAACUACGUG